Molecule: ribosomal RNA, 1543 nt
Filed under: metagenome
Description: SSU rRNA
Rfam family: Eukaryotic small subunit ribosomal RNA
Source: RNAcentral
GGUUGAUCCUGCCAGUAGCAUAUGCUUGUCUCAAAGAUUAAGCCAUGCAUGUCUAAGUACAAGCCGCUAGACGGCGAAACCGCGAAUGGCUCAAUAAAUCAGUUAUGGUUCCUUAGAUCAGUCAAUCCUACUUGGAUAACUGUGGUAAUUCUAGAGCUAAUACAUGCACCCAAGCCCCGACUCGGGGGGCAACUCUCGAGAAAGGGCGCUUUUAUUAGAUCAAAACCAGUCGAGAGCUUCGGCUCUCGUUAAGUUUGGUGACUCUGGAUAACUUCACGCUGAUCGCACGGUCUUCGCACCGGCGACGAUUCUUUCAAAUGUCUGCCUUAUCAACUGUCGAUGGUAGGUUAUGCGCCUACCAUGGUUGCAACGGGUAACGGGGAAUCGGGGUUCGAUUCCGGAGAGGGAGCCUGAGAAACGGCUACCACAUCCAAGGAAGGCAGCAGGCGCGCAAAUUACCCACUCCCGGCACGGGGAGGUAGUGACGAAAAAUAACGAUACGGGACUCUUCCGAGGCCCCGUGAUUGGAAUGAGUACACUUUAAAUCCUUUAACGAGGACCCAUUGGAGGGCAAGUCUGGUGCCAGCAGCCGCGGUAACUCCAGCUCCAAUAGCGUAUAUUAAAGUUGUUGCGGUUGAAAAGCUCGUAGUCGGAGUUCUGUCUUCGGCCGAGGGGGGAUUCUGCCUACACGGUAUGAGUCUCGUUCCCUUUGGGUGUGCGGUGUCAAAGCCGUGCACUCUUAACGGUCGGACAAGUCCGUCGGAGUGUGGUUAUUGUUGGAAGGGCAACCGACCAAUGAGGCCACCGUAAUCGUUCGGGGUGCCUUUAAUCGGGUGUCUCGGGCGGCCGACAUAGUUUACUUUGAACAAAUUAGAGUGCUCAAAGCAGGUGACUACCGCCUGAAUAGUACAGCAUGGAAUGAUGAAAGAGGACCUCGGUCUGAUUUUGCUGGUCUUUAACGGUCGGGCUUCGGCCCGGCCUAUGCAGACCCGAGGUAAUGGUCAAUAGAGACGGACGGGGGCAUCCGUACUGCGGCGACAGAGGUGAAAUUCUUGGACCGCCGCAAGACGAACGACAGCGAAGGCAUUUGCCAAGAAUGUUUUCCUUGAUCAAGAACGAAAGUUAGAGGUUCGAAGGCGAUCAGAUACCGCCCUAGUUCUAACCAUAAACGAUGCCAACUAGCGAUCCGCCGGUGUUACUCCCAUGACUCGGCGGGCAGCUUCCGGGAAACCAAAGUCUUUGGGUUCCGGGGGAAGUAUGGUUGCAAAGCUGAAACUUAAAGGAAUUGACGGAAGGGCACCACCAGGAGUGGAGCCUGCGGCUUAAUUUGACCCAACACGGGAAACCUCACCAGGCCCGGACACUGGAAGGAUUGACAGAUUGAGAGCUCUUUCUUGAUUCGGUGGGUGGUGGUGCAUGGCCGUUCUUAGUUGGUGGAGCGAUUUGUCUGGUUAAUUCCGAUAACGAACGAGACUCUAGCCUGCUAAAUAGGUGCCGGGUUUUUACAUCUCCUCGCAAGGGGAGAGUGGAGUGUGUGGUUGUC